Molecule: transfer RNA, 70 nt
Filed under: Nithecus jacobaeae
Lineage: Eukaryota; Metazoa; Arthropoda; Insecta; Hemiptera; Lygaeidae
Description: tRNA-Ser
Rfam family: tRNA
About the family: Transfer RNA (tRNA) molecules are approximately 80 nucleotides in length. Their secondary structure includes four short double-helical elements and three loops (D, anti-codon, and T loops).
Source: RNAcentral
AGCUAAUUAAGCUUUAGACAAGCAUAUACCUUGAAAGUAUAAAAUAAUGGUUAAAUUCCAUUAUUAGCUU